UCCGGCUUAUCACCGGCAGUUUCUUUAGAGUGCUCAACUAAAUGGUAGCAACUAAGGACGAGGGUUGCGCUCGUUGCGGGACUUAACCCAACACCUCACGGCACGAGCUGACGACAGCCAUGCAGCACCUGAACCGGCAGUCCCCGAAGGGAAAGUCCUAUUUCCAGGACUGUCCACCGUUGUCUAGCCCAGGUAAGGUUCUUCGCGUUGCGUCGAAUUGAACCACAUGCUCCACCGCUUGUGCGGGCCCCCGUCAAUUCCUUUGAGUUUCACCCUUGCGAGCGUACUCCCCAGGUGGAAUACUUAUCAGGUUUCCUUCGGCACUGAUCAAAAAAGACCAACACCAAGUAUUCAUCGUUUAGGGCGUGGACUAC
Molecule: unclassified non-coding RNA, 374 nt
Filed under: uncultured bacterium
Lineage: Bacteria
Description: contains 16S-23S intergenic spacer region
Source: RNAcentral